GCCCCUCUAGCUCAAUUGGUUAGAGCAGUGGACUCUUAAUCCAAAGGUUGAAGGUUCGAUUCCUUCGGGGGGCA
RNAcentral lists this transfer RNA (74 nucleotides) under Patulibacter minatonensis. RNAcentral's name for it is "tRNA-Lys". It matches the Rfam family "tRNA". Rfam says of the family: Transfer RNA (tRNA) molecules are approximately 80 nucleotides in length. Their secondary structure includes four short double-helical elements and three loops (D, anti-codon, and T loops). Lineage: Bacteria; Bacillati; Actinomycetota; Thermoleophilia; Solirubrobacterales; Patulibacteraceae. RNAcentral also lists the same sequence under 1 other name. The record is from RNAcentral.